GGUACUCUGGCCGAGUGGUCUAAGGCGCCAGGGUAAGGUUUCCUGGUCUCUUCGGAGGCACGAGUUCGAACCUCGUGGGUAUCA
RNAcentral lists this transfer RNA (84 nucleotides) under Metschnikowia aff. pulcherrima. Its description in RNAcentral is "tRNA-Leu". It matches the Rfam family "tRNA". From Rfam's summary of the family: Transfer RNA (tRNA) molecules are approximately 80 nucleotides in length. Lineage: Eukaryota; Fungi; Ascomycota; Pichiomycetes; Serinales; Metschnikowiaceae. The record is from RNAcentral.